UACGAAGGGGGCGAGCGUUGUUCGGAGUUACUGGGCGUAAAGGGCGCGUAGGCGGCGAUCCAAGUUAGGCGUGAAAGCCCCGGGCUUAACCUGGGAAUUGCGCUUAAGACUGGACUGCUUGAGUGCGGGAGAGGUGAGUGGAAUUCCCAGUGUAGAGGUGAAAUUCGUAGAUAUUGGGAAGAACACCAGUGGCGAAGGCGAGUCUCUGGACAUUUCCUGACGCUGAGGCACGAAAGCCAGGGGAGCAAACGGG
This 253-nucleotide ribosomal RNA is filed under the name uncultured bacterium. Its description in RNAcentral is "partial 16S ribosomal RNA". It matches the Rfam family "Bacterial small subunit ribosomal RNA", at positions 524 to 776 of the family's 1533-position model. The record is from RNAcentral.